GCCAGAGUUGAGUUUCUGACAACACACUGAACCUACAGAAAGACAUUACACUAAGAGUGAAAAAAAACAGGCGCAACAGCUUAAAGGUGGCAUUAGCAAGUGGACACUCAAUUACAGAAGAGGUCACUGGAGACCCUCCAAGCCAUAGUUUAGACAUGGACAUGCUUUGGCAGUGACAGGCAACAGAGCAUUCAUGUUUGGAAGCUGUUCCAUUGAUAACACCUUUCAGUCACUCUCACUGAUUUGACUUGGGAGAGGAUACUGCAGCAGGGACAUAUUCCUUGUAGUGGAGAAGAACAUACAUUUUGUAUAGGAAAAGGAAAGUUACAUUUAUUUGAAGGAUGUUCUACCAAAAAUGCUGAAGAUUGUCUUCCAGGAGCCUACAGCUUUGCUCUUAGAAACAUGUCUCGCAAUGCUGCAACAAGAUACUUGAGUACCAGAGAAACUCUUUCCAAACUUAGAAAAAAUUGCAACUGG
This 477-nucleotide long non-coding RNA is filed under the name Apteryx rowi (Okarito brown kiwi). RNAcentral's name for it is "lncRNA (ENSARWG00000000951.1)". The record is from RNAcentral. Lineage: Eukaryota; Metazoa; Chordata; Aves; Apterygiformes; Apterygidae.